UUCGGGGCUCUUUGGUGAUUCAUGAUAACUUUACGGAUCGCAUAGCCUUGCGCUGGCGACGGUUCAUUCAAAUUUCUGCCCUAUCAACUUUCGAUGGUAAGGUAUUGGCUUACCAUGGUUUCAACGGGUAACGGGGAAUUAGGGUUCGAUUCCGGAGAGGGAGCCUGAGAAACGGCUACCACAUCCAAGGAAGGCAGCAGGCGCGCAAAUUACCCAAUCCCGACACGGGGAGGUAGUGACAAUAAAUACUGAUACAGGGCUCUUUUGGGUCUUGUAAUUGGAAUGAGUACAAUUUAAACCUCUUAACGAGGAACAAUUGGAGGGCAAGUCUGGUGCCAGCAGCCGCGGUAAUUCCAGCUCCAAUAGCGUAUAUUAAAGUUGUUGCAGUUAAAAAGCUCGUAGUUGAAACUUGGGCCUGGCUGGCGGGUCCGCCUCACCGCGUGCACUCGUCCGGCCGGGCCUUCCUUCUGAAGAACCUCAUGCCCUUCACUGGGCGUGUUGGGGAAUCAGGACUUUUACUUUGAAAAAAUUAGAGUGUUCAAAGCAGGCCUUUGCUCGAAUACGUUAGCAUGGAAUAAUAAAAUAGGGCGUGCGUUUCUAUUUUGUUGGUUUCUAGAGACGCCGCAAUGAUUAACAGGAACAGUCGGGGGCAUCAGUAUUCAGUUGUCAGAGGUGAAAUUCUUGGAUUUACUGAAGACUAACUACUGCGAAAGCAUUUGCCAAGGAUGUUUUCAUUAAUCAGUGAACGAAAGUUAGGGGAUCGAAGACGAUCAGAUACCGUCGUAGUCUUAACCGUAAACUAUGCCGACUAGGGAUCGGGCGAUGUUCUUUUUCUGACUCGCUCGGCACCUUACGAGAAAUCAAAGUU
Molecule: ribosomal RNA, 868 nt
Filed under: Curvularia spicifera
Lineage: Eukaryota; Fungi; Ascomycota; Dothideomycetes; Pleosporales; Pleosporaceae
Description: SSU rRNA
Rfam family: Eukaryotic small subunit ribosomal RNA
Source: RNAcentral